UGAGGAACAUGACCUUCGGCGGGGGAUAGCCGGCCCAACGGCCGGGUAAUACCGCGUACGACCACAUGGGGACAUCCCUGAGUGGUGAAAGCAGCAAUGCGCCGAUGGAGUGCCUCGCGGCCUAUCAGCUAGUUGGUGAGGUAACGGCUCACCAAGGCGACGACGGGUAGCUGGUUUGAGAGGAUGGCCAGCCACAUUGGGACUGAGACACGGCCCAGACUCCGUAGGGACGG
Molecule: ribosomal RNA, 233 nt
Filed under: uncultured bacterium
Lineage: Bacteria
Description: partial 16S ribosomal RNA
Rfam family: Bacterial small subunit ribosomal RNA
Source: RNAcentral